AACGAACGCUGGCGGCGUGCUUAACACAUGCAAGUCGAACGCGAAAGGGACUUCGGUCCUGAGUAAAGUGGCGCACGGGUGAGUAACGCGUAGAUAACCUGUCUUCAUGUCUGGAAUAAUACGCCGAAAGGGGUACUAAUACCGGAUAUUCUUGCUUUUCAUAAGUUAUGCAAGCAAAGGUGGCCUCUGCAUAUGCUACUGCAUGAAGAGGGGUCUGCGUACCAUUAGCUAGUAGGUGGGGUAAUGGCCUACCUAGGCGACGAUGGUUAGCGGGUCUGAGAGGAUGAUCCGCCACACUGGCACUGGAACACGGGCCAGACUCCUACGGGAGGCAGCAGUGAGGAAUAUUGCGCAAUGGGGGAAACCCUGACGCAGCGACGCCGCGUGAGUGAAGGAAGGCCUUCGGGUCGUAAAGCUCUGUCAAGAGGAAAGAAGUGUACAAUGGCUAAUACCUGUUGUAUUUGACGGUACCCCUAAAGGAAGCACCGGCUAACUCCGUGCCAGCAGCUGC
This 511-nucleotide ribosomal RNA is filed under the name uncultured bacterium. RNAcentral describes it as "bacterial SSU rRNA". It matches the Rfam family "Bacterial small subunit ribosomal RNA", at positions 29 to 518 of the family's 1533-position model. The record is from RNAcentral.